This 478-nucleotide ribosomal RNA is filed under the name uncultured bacterium. Its description in RNAcentral is "bacterial SSU rRNA". It matches the Rfam family "Bacterial small subunit ribosomal RNA", at positions 28 to 507 of the family's 1533-position model. The record is from RNAcentral.
GAUGAACGCUGGCGGCGUGCCUAACACAUGCAAGUCGAGCGAGAAUUUGCGAAAUGAAGCUUCGGCAGAUUUUGUAAAGGAAAGCGGCGGACGGGUGAGUAACGCGUGAGUAACCUGCCCUUUGGAGGGGGAUAACACAUCGAAAGAUGUGCUAAUACCGCAUAACAUACAUUUACCGCAUGAUAGAUGUAUCAAAGAUUUAUCGCCAAAGGAUGGACUCGCGUCUGAUUAGAUAGUUGGUGAGGUAACGGCUCACCAAGUCGAUGAUCAGUAGCCGGACUGAGAGGUUGAUCGGCCACAUUGGGACUGAGACACGGCCCAGACUCCUACGGGAGGCAGCAGUGGGGAAUAUUGCGCAAUGGGGGAAACCCUGACGCAGCAACGCCGCGUGAAGGAUGAAGGCCUUCGGGUUGUAAACUUUUGUCUUAUGGGACGAAAAAGGACGGUACCAUAGGAGGAAGCCACGGCUAACUACGUG